RNAcentral lists this ribosomal RNA (530 nucleotides) under uncultured bacterium. RNAcentral's name for it is "bacterial SSU rRNA". It matches the Rfam family "Bacterial small subunit ribosomal RNA", at positions 218 to 740 of the family's 1533-position model. The record is from RNAcentral.
CUGGAGGAUUGGUUCGCGCCCUAUCAGCUUGUUGGUGAGGUAACGGCUCACCAAGGCUACGACGGGUACCUGGUCUGAGAGGACGAUCAGGCACACUGGAACUGAGACACGGUCCAGACACCUACGGGUGGCAGCAGUCGAGAAUAAUUCACAAUGGGGGCAACCCUGAUGGUGCAACGCCGCGUGGAGGAUGACGGUCUUCGGAUUGUAAACUCCUGUCAUCCGGGAGAAAGACCUGGCCGUCAAUAGCGGACAGGGUUGAUAGUACCGGAAGAGGAAGGGACGGCUAACUUCGUGCCAGCAGCCGCGGCAAUACGAAGGUCCCGAGCGUUGUUCGGAAUCACUGGGCGUAAAGGGAGCGUAGGCGGCGCGGUAAGUCAGAUGUGAAAUCCCGGGGCUCAACCCCGGAACUGCAUCCGAUACUGCCGUGCUAGAGUAAUGGAGGGGUAGCUGGAAUUCUCGGUGUAGCAGUGAAAUGCGUAGAUAUCGAGAGGAACACUCGUGGCGAAAGCGAGCUACUGGACAUUUAC